Molecule: long non-coding RNA, 423 nt
Organism: Pseudophryne corroboree (corroboree frog)
Lineage: Eukaryota; Metazoa; Chordata; Amphibia; Anura; Myobatrachidae
Exons: 3
Source: RefSeq, a predicted model, not a curated record
GGGGUUACGGCUGCUACUCUUGGCUCCUUACUCCAUUGUCCCAACCUGAUUCUCCUGCUGAACACAGUUACAAUCAUGCACAUAAGGCUACGCGGAAUGUGAUAGAAAGAUGUUUUGGUGUGCUGAAGUCACGGUUUCGGUGUCUGGAUAAAUCUGCAGGCCUUUUGUUGUAUAGUCCCUCAAAGAUAACUGAGGUGAUCGGGGCUCAUCACUCUGCGAACUCGCCAAUAGUGCCAGUGGUGGCUGGGGUGACACUGCCGAAAUGCGUCGCCUGGGUGGGGAUGAUGGAGCCGCAGAUUCCGUGCCAAGACGCCGUGUCUUACUUGGCCUCCUGGAAUAUGUGACUACAGUGAAGUCUUACCUGCAAUCCCUGCCUCAUCCUGACUUGUCUGAGGCCUGUCUGGCCGGCUGGUCUGUGGGACU